Melitaea cinxia (Glanville fritillary) is the source of this 173-nucleotide long non-coding RNA. RefSeq lists it as uncharacterized. The transcript is spliced from 3 exons. The record is from RefSeq and is a predicted model, not a curated record. NCBI's taxonomy places the organism in Eukaryota, Metazoa, Arthropoda, Insecta, Lepidoptera, Nymphalidae.
AUGACGUAUCAUUAGCAGUGUUUACUAUACAAAGAGUAUAUAAGGUACUAUACAGUUCAUUUUACGCAGAUAGAUUUAAAUGAUCUGUAGACAAUUUUAUGUUAAAUUUUUACUAAAAUAUUAUUAUAUAUUAUGUCACUUAUAAUGUGCAAAUAAAUCAUUGACAUAUUUAA